CAGCAGUAGGGAAUCUUCCGCAAUGGACGAAAAUUCUGACGGAGCAACGCCGCCUGAGUGAUGAAGGUUUUCCGAUCGUAAAGCUCUGUUGUUAGGGAAGAACAAGUGCCGUUCAAAUAGGGCGGCACCUUGACGGUACCUAACCAGAAAGCCACGGCUAACUACGUGCCAGCAGCCGCGGUAAUACGUAGGUGGCAAGCGUUGUCCGGAAUUAUUGGGCGUAAAGGGCUCGCAGGCGGUUUCUUAAGUCUGAUGUGAAAGCCCCCGGCUCAACCGGGGAGGGUCAUUGGAAACUGGGGAACUUGAGUGCAGAAGAGGAGAGUGGAAUUCCACGUGUAGCGGUGAAAUGCGUAGAGAUGUGGAGGAACACCAGUGGCGAAGGCGACUCUCUGGUCUGUAACUGACGCUGAGGAGCGAAAGCGUGGGGAGCGAACAGGAUUAGAUACCCUGGUAGUCCACGCCGUAAACGAUGAGUGCUAAGUGUUAGGGGGUUUCCGCCCCUUAGUGCUGCAGCUAACGCAUUAAGCACUCCGCCUGGGGAGUACGGUCGCAAGACUGAAACUCAAAGGAAUUGACGGGGGCCCGCACAAACGGUGGAGCAUGUGGUUUAAUUCGAAGCAACGCGAAGAACCUUACCAGGUCUUGACAUCCUCUGACAAUCCUAGAGAUAGGACGUCCCCUUUCGGGGGGCAGAGUGACAGGGUGGUGCAUGGGUUGUCGUCAGCUCCGUGUCCGGGAGAAGUUUGGGUUAAAGUCCCCGCAACCAAGCGCAACCCCUUGGAUCUUAAGUUGCCCAGCAUUCAGUUUGGGGCACUCUAAAGGGGACUGCCCGGUGACAAACCCGGA
This 846-nucleotide ribosomal RNA is filed under the name Bacillus sp. (in: firmicutes). RNAcentral describes it as "bacterial SSU rRNA". It matches the Rfam family "Bacterial small subunit ribosomal RNA", at positions 349 to 1167 of the family's 1533-position model. The record is from RNAcentral. Lineage: Bacteria; Bacillati; Bacillota; Bacilli; Caryophanales; Bacillaceae.